This 74-nucleotide transfer RNA is filed under the name Ruminococcus sp. CAG:353. It matches the Rfam family "tRNA". Rfam says of the family: Transfer RNA (tRNA) molecules are approximately 80 nucleotides in length. Their secondary structure includes four short double-helical elements and three loops (D, anti-codon, and T loops). Further hydrogen bonds mediate the characteristic L-shaped molecular structure. tRNAs have two regions of fundamental functional importance: the anti-codon, which is responsible for specific mRNA codon recognition, and the 3' end, to which the tRNAs corresponding amino acid is attached (by aminoacyl-tRNA synthetases). tRNAs cope with the degeneracy of the genetic code in two manners: having more than one tRNA (with a specific anti-codon) for a particular amino acid; and 'wobble' base-pairing, i.e. permitting non-standard base-pairing at the 3rd anti-codon position. Lineage: Bacteria; Bacillati; Bacillota; Clostridia; Eubacteriales; Oscillospiraceae. The record is from Rfam by way of RNAcentral.
GGGCCAUUAGCUCAGUUGGUCAGAGCAACCGGCUCAUAACCGGUCGGUCCUGGGUUCGAGUCCCCGAUGGCCCA